GAGCCCUGUGGAUAGAAGGCUGCCUAGAGAGCUGCCUGUGGGCUCCAUCCAGAGUGGAGAGCCCUGUGGGCUCCAUCCAGAGUGGAGAGCCCUGUGGGCUCCAUCCAGAGUGGAGAGCCCUGUGGAUAGAAGGCUGCCUGUGGAGUAGGCCUAGUGGGAGGAUCACAGGUGUAAUAAAGAAUUGAUGUUGGUAUGUAAAGCUCUGUUAAUAUGUUAACCACUUCUAUGUUUAUAUUCUGCUUCUGUUGGUUUAUAUAGUAGGCUACUUGUAAAGGCUCACAGUUAUACACCUAUAUAAUUAUUUUCUCAUUAAAAAGAAAAUCUGUCAUUUUGUGACUAUUGAUUUAUUAUUGAUUAAGCAGCUGAUUGGUUUUCCUGUGUGAGUUAUUGUAUAGUCCUUUUAUUAUACCUAUUCAAAUAUGGUCACCGUUUAUACACACACACGCACACACACACGCACACACACACACUGAUUCCCGUUAUCUGUUAUAGGCCUAAUCUGUGCCAGCUACUGUAGGCCUUGGUUACAAUAACCAACCUUGAUGCACUUUAGAAGGUCGUGCACAAUAUGUGCUUCUUCUUAAUAACGUGGCCUACACAGCCUAUUUUAUCACAAAACAAAUUAAAUUGAUGCCUUUCGACCUCAAAAAAUAUAUUUUUAAUAAAUAUCAAUGAAUACCAAUGAAUAGACCAGAGAUUGUAUUCAUUAAGGUGGAUAUUUGACUCACUCAUGCAGUAAGGUAAAGAUUUGUUAUCGGAGCUAACGUUAAAGCAACAUGUGCGUAAUUUCAAUAGGCUACACGUCGGUUUAAUAUUUACCAUGACACAAUAGCUUAUAUCAGGAGGGAUAACUAAUGUUUUUACAAAAUACAUGUACAAAUAAAUGAUUGAACCCCCCCCCCAAAAAAAAUACUUGAAUAGGGUUAUACACUAAUGUGGAUGUUUGGCUCAUGAAGUAGCAAUGUUCAUUUCGUUUAACGUAAAUAGUGACUAAAAUAUUCGUCAAACACCUACUUUUCAGCGGCAAUUGAUGAGACUAUAACUGACUAAAUAGACCCAGACAAAUCUAUAAACUAAACCAAAAUGUUUUAUUUUUAUUUUAGUUGACUAAAAUGAGAAGAGACAAAAUUUCCUCUGUGACUAAAAUCGAACUACUAAAUGGACUGGACUAAGAGUUUUUUGUUGUUGAGAGAUUUAAGAGCUUUUCAGUGAUAAGCACGACGACUAUUAGCAGCAAAGAUGCGUUCAGCAGUGGGAAGGAUACACCACACCUGGAAAAAACAGCCUACAUCAGCUGGUGAGCUGCAGGGGGGGAGAAAGCGAUGAGUGUGGGCAAACAGGUUGCUCCAGUUAUUCACAUUGAACAGGUGACUCUCUUGCUUCGCCUUAGCUAACCAGUCUCCAUCAUCCUUCUUAGUAGCUACCCUUUGCCUGGUUAAAAAACACAAGCUGCCUUAUGAAAUAAAAAACAAUAAAAAACAAUAGCAGCAUUGAGUUUAAUAGGAAUUACAACAGUCUGUUUUUCUCUCCCUUGAGUAUAGAAAAGUGGGCGGUCUUUGAAUUUGUAGUCUGGCUUAACCCCUCCCACUUCAUUUCAUAUACAGGCCUGUAGCGUCAGAGAAAACGGCUUGAUUCUCAGGCUAACUUCAGGCUAACUUCAGGCUAACUUCAGGCUAACGUUAGGCUAACGUUAGGCUAACUUUAGGCUAACUUUAGGCUAACUUUAGGCUAACGUUAGGCUAACUUUAGGUUAACUUUAGGCUAACUUUAGGCUAACUUUCAAUAUGAUCCAUAAUACCAGCACUACUUUUUGGUUUCUUUCUAUUGUGCAUUGGCAGGCAACAUUUUACAUUCAUAAAGGAUAUCGAGGGCCGUUGUAAAACUAGGCUAUCUGCGGGACGGACCAUUAAAGAUUUGUUCAGGCUACACUUUGUUCCGUUAUGGUGCCCCAUUAGCUAGGAAACAACUUGGGGCACGUUCAGCAAGACGCAAGAUGUGUUGGAACGUUCAGAUAGAAAUAUGCUAUGUAGAACAAACAUACUUCUCUGACAUGUUGAAUAAGGAAUAGCGUAGGCUCUAUUCAUGGCGUUUCUAUAUUGUAACGACCCUGGGUUUAUAAGCGCGGAAAUCGACUCUGAGCAUGCUUUUGCGGCACAGUCGAUAGCGCGCCGGACUUCGGGCUUGAAGGUCGAGGGUUCGAGACCUGCUCCCUCCCUGCUGUUUCAUUAAAAAUUAAAAAUUACAAUCUGUUACGUUGGAGACUGAACCUGAUUCUGCUAAACAUUACCAGUAGCCAAAACAUUGUUUAGAAUUAGCUUUGUCUUCUGUUAUGAAAAGAAGUUUAAUAAAUCAUUAUUAUUGCCAUCGUAUUGGGAGAGGUCAGCGACCAGCCGGAGGAAGACGACACGACAGCAUCCUCCUCAGGGGACAGGUACUCAGUGUGGAGCCAAUUAGUACACACCUGGGCCCACUAAUUGCUUUGUGUCUUCCUCUAUAUACACUACCGUUCAAAAGUUUGGGGUCACUUAGAAAUGUCCUUGUUUUUUGAAAGAAAAGCUGAACAUUUUUUUUUUUUAAAUGGUGCAUUAAAAUAACAUCAAAUUGAUCAGAAAUACAGUGUAGGUCAUUGUUUAAAUGGUCGUCUGAAAUCAGAGUGGAGCUAAGGGGUGAGGUGCUGACUACUAAAACCUCUGUUAGCUACUUGGGAUGCAUCCUUGAUGGAAGCUUGGGAGGUGUGAGCAUGGCCAAUAAGGUGCUAGAAAGUUCCAAGCUGCUUGAUAAGGACUCCAUGAAAGUGCUAGCUGCUGCCCUCAUUCAAUGCCAUUUUGACUAUGCUAGUACUUCCUGGUUCGGGGACUUAUCUAAACUUAUGAAGGGGAAGCUCCAGAUAGCCCAGAAUAAGCUGAUCAGGGUAGUAUUGAAGGUGAGUCCACGUACUCACAUAGGCAGGAGCUGCUUUCAGGAACUAAACUGGCUGCCUGUUGAGGCUAGGGUGUCCCAGAAUAGACUAGGUUUGGUUUACAAGGGUAUUUAUGGUCCUGCGCCCAGAUAUCCAAGUUUACUUUCCUCGUGUUACUGGAUGCACACAAUCACAGCACCAGAUCAGGUGUUGCUGAUGUGUGCUCAUACAGGUUCAGGAGUAAUUCUGGGAAAGGUACUUUCUUGUAAACUGGAGCCUCAGAAUGGAAUGAGUUGCCUCUGCCCUAUAAAAACAACAUCCUCCAUGGACAGCUUUAAAAAAUAAAGUAAAAAUAUGUUUUGAUGUGUUCUGUGCCCAUGUGAAUAACCCCUAUGAUGUAACUGGAAUGAUGAGAUAGAUGUUCUUCUUCUUCUCUGUUUUCUGUUUUAUUAUUUCGCUGCCGUACUGUGUUCCAUCUUGUCCAGCCAUCUUGUCUCAAGACAGGAUCACAAUGGAAAUCAGUCCCAGACUUUAUUAUGUUUUAUCCUCCAUGAUUUUAUUCAUGUGCAUGUAUGGCUUUUUCAAGUUUUAUGUGUGCUUGUUUUUUUUUUAAAUG
This 3515-nucleotide long non-coding RNA is filed under the name Salmo salar (Atlantic salmon). RNAcentral's name for it is "lncRNA (ENSSSAG00000085904.1, ENSSSAG00000089394.1)". The record is from RNAcentral. Lineage: Eukaryota; Metazoa; Chordata; Actinopteri; Salmoniformes; Salmonidae.